RNAcentral lists this ribosomal RNA (253 nucleotides) under uncultured bacterium. Its description in RNAcentral is "partial 16S ribosomal RNA". It matches the Rfam family "Bacterial small subunit ribosomal RNA", at positions 524 to 776 of the family's 1533-position model. The record is from RNAcentral.
UACGAAGGGUGCUAGCGUUGUUCGGAAUCACUGGGCGUAAAGGGCGCGUAGGCGGCUUUUCAAGUCAGGGGUGAAAUCCUGGAGCUUAACUCCAGAAUUGCCUUUGAAACUGGAAAGCUUGAGUAUUGGAGGGGAUAGCGGAAUUCCUAAUGUAGAGGUGAAAUUCGUAGAUAUUAGGAGGAACACCGGUGGCGAAGGCGGCUAUCUGGACAAUAACUGACGCUGAGGCGCGAAAGCGUGGGGAUCAAACAGG